RNAcentral lists this ribosomal RNA (253 nucleotides) under uncultured bacterium. Its description in RNAcentral is "partial 16S ribosomal RNA". It matches the Rfam family "Bacterial small subunit ribosomal RNA", at positions 524 to 776 of the family's 1533-position model. The record is from RNAcentral.
GACGGGGGAGGCAAGCGUUAUCCGGAAUCACUGGGAGUAAAGGGUAUGUAGGUGGUGGUUCAAGUCAGUGGUGCAAAACUCUGGCUCAACCGGAGGAAAGCCAGUGAAACUGCACGACUAGAGUGUGGUAGAGGUAGCAGGAAUUCCCUGAGUAGCGGUGAAAUGCGUAGAUACCGGGAAGAACACCGGAGGCGAAAGCGUUCUACUGGGACACAACUGACACUGAGAUACGAAAGCUCGGGGAGCGAAUGGG